GGGUUGUGAGGUUAAGCGACUAAGCGUACACGGUGGAUGCCCUGGCAGUCAGAGGCGAUGAAGGGCGUGCUAAUCUGCGAUAAGCGCCGGUAAGGUGAUAUGAACCGUUAUAACCGGCGAUACCCGAAUGGGGAAACCCAGUGUGAUUCGUCACACUAUCAUUAACUGAAUCCAUAGGUUAAUGAGGCGAACCGGGGGAACUGAAACAUCUAAGUACCCCGAGGAAAAGAAAUCAACCGAGAUUCCCCCAGUAGCGGCGAGCGAACGGGGAGGAGCCCAGAGCCUGAAUCAGCAUGUGUGUUAGUGGAAGCGUCUGGAAAGGCGCGCGAUACAGGGUGACAGCCCCGUACACAAAAGCGCAUGUGCUGUGAGCUCGAUGAGUAGGGCGGGACACGUGGUAUCCUGUCUGAAUAUGGGGGGACCAUCCUCCAAGGCUAAAUACUCCUGACUGACCGAUAGUGAACCAGUACCGUGAGGGAAAGGCGAAAAGAACCCCGGCGAGGGGAGUGAAAAAGAACCUGAAACCGUGUACGUACAAGCAGUGGGAGCCCCACCACUAAGCCAGUGGUGAACUCCACAUACGCAUCCUUUGCUGAGGAUACGGUUAACGGAGCGAAAGCGACGUUCAACCGCAAAAGAAGCAGAGGGGGCUUAGUGGUGGGGUGACUGCGUACCUUUUGUAUAAUGGGUCAGCGACUUAUAUUCUGUAGCAAGGUUAACCGAAUAGGGGAGCCGGAGGGAAACCGAGUCUUAAUUGGGCGUUAAGUUGCAGGGUAUAGACCCGAAACCCGGUGAUCUAGCCAUGGGCAGGUUGAAGGUUGGGUAACACUAACUGGAGGACCGAACCGACUAAUGUUGAAAAAUUAGCGGAUGACCUGUGGCUGGGGGUGAAAGGCCAAUCAAACCGGGAGAUAGCUGGUUCUCCCCGAAAGCUAUUUAGGUAGCGCCUCGUGAAUUCAUCUCCGGGGGUAGAGCACUGUUUCGGCUAGGGGGCCAUCCCGGCUUACCAACCCGAUGCAAACUGCGAAUACCGGAGAAUGUUAUCACGGGAGACACACGGCGGGUGCUAACGUCCGUCGUGAAGAGGGAAACAACCCAGACCGCCAGCUAAGGUCCCAAAGUCAUGGUUAAGUGGGAAACGAUGUGGGAAGGCCCAGACAGCCAGGAUGUUGGCUUAGAAGCAGCCAUCAUUUAAAGAAAGCGUAAUAGCUCACUGGUCGAGUCGGCCUGCGCGGAAGAUGUAACGGGGCUAAACCAUGCACCGAAGCUGCGGCAGCGACACUCAGGUGUUGUUGGGUAGGGGAGCGUUCUGUAAGCCUGUGAAGGUGUGUCGUGAGGCAUGCUGGAGGUAUCAGAAGUGCGAAUGCUGACAUAAGUAACGAUAAAGCGGGUGAAAAGCCCGCUCGCCGGAAGACCAAGGGUUCCUGUCCAACGUUAAUCGGGGCAGGGUGAGUCGACCCCUAAGGCGAGGCCGAAAGGCGUAGUCGAUGGGAAACGGGUUAAUAUUCCCGUACUUGGUGUUACUGCGAAGGGGGGACGGAGAAGGCUAUGUUGGCCGGGCGACGGUUGUCCCGGUUUAAGCGUGUAGGUGUGUGUUCCAGGUAAAUCCGGUUCACUUUAACACUGAGGCGUGACGACGAGGCACUACGGUGCUGAAGCAACAAAUGCCCUGCUUCCAGGAAAAGCCUCUAAGCAUCAGGUAACAUCAAAUCGUACCCCAAACCGACACAGGUGGUCAGGUAGAGAAUACCAAGGCGCUUGAGAGAACUCGGGUGAAGGAACUAGGCAAAAUGGUGCCGUAACUUCGGGAGAAGGCACGCUGACACGUAGGUGAAGUGAUUUACUCAUGGAGCUGAAGUCAGUCGAAGAUACCAGCUGGCUGCAACUGUUUAUUAAAAACACAGCACUGUGCAAACACGAAAGUGGACGUAUACGGUGUGACGCCUGCCCGGUGCCGGAAGGUUAAUUGAUGGGGUCAGCGCAAGCGAAGCUCCUGAUCGAAGCCCCGGUAAACGGCGGCCGUAACUAUAACGGUCCUAAGGUAGCGAAAUUCCUUGUCGGGUAAGUUCCGACCUGCACGAAUGGCGUAAUGAUGGCCAGGCUGUCUCCACCCGAGACUCAGUGAAAUUGAACUCGCUGUGAAGAUGCAGUGUACCCGCGGCAAGACGGAAAGACCCCGUGAACCUUUACUAUAGCUUGACACUGAACAUUGAGCCUUGAUGUGUAGGAUAGGUGGGAGGCUUUGAAGUGUGGACGCCAGUCUGCAUGGAGCCGACCUUGAAAUACCACCCUUUAAUGUUUGAUGUUCUAACGUGGACCCGUGAUCCGGGUUGCGGACAGUGUCUGGUGGGUAGUUUGACUGGGGCGGUCUCCUCCUAAAGAGUAACGGAGGAGCACGAAGGUUGGCUAAUCCUGGUCGGACAUCAGGAGGUUAGUGCAAUGGCAUAAGCCAGCUUGACUGCGAGCGUGACGGCGCGAGCAGGUGCGAAAGCAGGUCAUAGUGAUCCGGUGGUUCUGAAUGGAAGGGCCAUCGCUCAACGGAUAAAAGGUACUCCGGGGAUAACAGGCUGAUACCGCCCAAGAGUUCAUAUCGACGGCGGUGUUUGGCACCUCGAUGUCGGCUCAUCACAUCCUGGGGCUGAAGUAGGUCCCAAGGGUAUGGCUGUUCGCCAUUUAAAGUGGUACGCGAGCUGGGUUUAGAACGUCGUGAGACAGUUCGGUCCCUAUCUGCCGUGGGCGCUGGAGAACUGAGGGGGGCUGCUCCUAGUACGAGAGGACCGGAGUGGACGCAUCACUGGUGUUCGGGUUGUCAUGCCAAUGGCACUGCCCGGUAGCUAAAUGCGGAAGAGAUAAGUGCUGAAAGCAUCUAAGCACGAAACUUGCCCCGAGAUGAGUUCUCCCUGAGACUUAGAGUCUCCUGAAGGAACGUUGAAGACGACGACGUUGAUAGGCCGGGUGUGUAAGCGCAGCGAUGCGUUGAGCUAACCGGUACUAAUGAACCGUGAGGCUUAACCUUACAACGCCGAAG
Molecule: ribosomal RNA, 3028 nt
Filed under: Salmonella enterica subsp. enterica serovar Anatum
Lineage: Bacteria; Pseudomonadati; Pseudomonadota; Gammaproteobacteria; Enterobacterales; Enterobacteriaceae
Description: 23S ribosomal RNA
Rfam family: Bacterial large subunit ribosomal RNA
Source: RNAcentral